GGUGUUAGCUAGAGAAAACAAGAGCAUAAUUAUCGGAACUAUGCUGCGCCGUAACAAGCUACACAGAUGCUUGCAAACCUCGGACCAUAGCACUGUUGAAUUCGAUCCAGAUCAUCACACCACACAACGGUUGCAGACAAUUCGGCGCUCCAUGAUCCAAAAUCCGAGGAGUGCUUUAAUCAACAAUUAUCUAGAGAGGAGAC
Molecule: long non-coding RNA, 203 nt
Organism: Zea mays
Lineage: Eukaryota; Viridiplantae; Streptophyta; Magnoliopsida; Poales; Poaceae
Exons: 3
Source: RefSeq, a predicted model, not a curated record